UUAAGUUAGUUUAUAAAAAAUGUCAGGUUGUGGUUCUGAAGAGGGGGGAGCCCACUUAAUU
RNAcentral lists this transfer RNA (61 nucleotides) under Epitonium scalare. RNAcentral describes it as "tRNA-His". The record is from RNAcentral. Lineage: Eukaryota; Metazoa; Mollusca; Gastropoda; Epitoniidae.